Molecule: ribosomal RNA, 501 nt
Filed under: uncultured bacterium
Lineage: Bacteria
Description: partial 16S ribosomal RNA
Rfam family: Bacterial small subunit ribosomal RNA
Source: RNAcentral
AUUGAACGCUGGCGGCAGGCUUAACACACGCAAGUCGAGCGGGGGAAGGUAGCUUGCUACCGGACCUAGCGGCGGACGGGUGAGUAAUGCUUAGGAAUCUGCCUAUUAGUGGGGGACAACAUCUCGAAAGGGAUGCUAAUACCGCAUGCGUCCUACGGGAGAAAGCAGGGGAUCUUCGGACCUUGCGCUAAUAGAUGAGCCUAAGUCGGAUUAGCUAGUUGGUGGGGUAAAGGCCUACCAAGGCGACGAUCUGUAGCGGGUCUGAGAGGAUGAUCCGCCACACUGGGACUGAGACACGGCCCAGACUCCUACGGGAGGCAGCAGUGGGGAAUAUUGGACAAUGGGGGAAACCCUGAUCCAGCCAUGCCGCGUGUGUGAAGAAGGCCUUAUGGUUGUAAAGCACUUUAAGCGAGGAGGAGGCUACUUUAGUUAAUACCUAGAGAUAGUGGACGUUACUCGCCGAAUAAGCACCGGCUAACUCUGUGCCAGCCGCCGCAGUAA